UUUCCCUACGGGACGCAGCAGUGGGGAAUAUUGCACAAUGGGGGAAACCCUGAUGCAGCGACGCCGCGUGAGCGAUGAAGUAUUUCGGUAUGUAAAGCUCUAUCAGCAGGGAAGAAAAUGACGGUACCUGACUAAGAAGCCCCGGCUAACUACGUGCCAGCAGCCGCGGUAAUACGUAGGGGGCAAGCGUUAUCCGGAUUUACUGGGUGUAAAGGGAGCGUAGACGGCAUGGCAAGCCAGAUGUGAAAUACCGGGGCUCAACCCCGGGACUGCAUUUGGAACUGUUAAGCUGGAGUGUCGGAGAG
RNAcentral lists this ribosomal RNA (305 nucleotides) under uncultured bacterium. RNAcentral's name for it is "bacterial SSU rRNA". It matches the Rfam family "Bacterial small subunit ribosomal RNA", at positions 334 to 656 of the family's 1533-position model. The record is from RNAcentral.